GAUGUGGAUGAGGCAAAUUGCUCUGCUGUGUGGCUGAGCUCUUAUUAUUGGGUGAACCUUAGCUAUAUUUAAGGGCUGAAGCAUUUAUGCCCUGUAAGCUGGACCUAGAUGGUUUUGUCUGUGGAGCCUACCUGGAAAAGAUGAAUUGAGGUCAGCUGUAACAACCAAAGCACAACCUGCUGAGUAUUUCUUACUGGAACCAUCUGACCAGCUCUGUGUUAGGAAGUUGCACUUGAGGAGAGGAUUCUCCAAGAUGCAAGAAUUAACUUAAGCAAUGUCUCAUGAUGGAGUUCUCCAGGAAUAUGAGCUGUCAGGUGGAUGAGGAAGCUGCACAGUAUGAGCUCAGAAGAGGUGGGUGCUCAGAGUGGAGAGGGUGCGAAGAUGUGUGAUGUUGUUAGAGAGCACAAAGCUGGCUUGCAGACCUCAGACAGUUCAAAAGGAAUGGCUGUGGGUUAACAGCACUCACUCUGCCACCAGAGUAAGCAGAAAUGAGAGGAAGAGAUCAGAUUAAGCUGGCAGAUCAAAUAAUCCUGAAGAUCUUGGAAGGAAGCAGCACUGUUAAAACUGAAGCAAUGGUCAUAACAGUGCUCAGCUCUUCUCAACAUUGCAAAUAUCAUUCUUGGGAGUAUUUAAAGCUUGCAGAAGGUGCAGGAGUCCAUCUGAGGAAGGUGGAUGUACGAAGGCAGCUUUUGGUCUCUCGAUUUUUACAUUUUGAAGUAAGAUUUGAGGCAAUUCUUGUUAUUG
Molecule: non-coding RNA, 744 nt
Organism: Coturnix japonica (Japanese quail)
Lineage: Eukaryota; Metazoa; Chordata; Aves; Galliformes; Phasianidae
Source: RefSeq, a predicted model, not a curated record